CAAAAAUAUUCUCACUCUUUGCCUGUAAGAAGUUCAGGUCCAACCAGCUACAGAUUCUUUUUCAAGGCAGGUAAUCAUGAUCUCCUGGAAGAAGAAGGCAAGAGUGAAAACGAGUCACAUUCUCCACCUCCUGGCUGGUCUCAAGGCAGCCCAACAGCUCUUCCGUGCUGCCACCAGACCCACCCUGGGGCAAUGUGAAGGGGCUACACAAAGCUGUGACUACCAGGAGGUGGAGAUCAUUGGGGGCCAUCUUAGAGGCUGCCAACCACAGACACCAUUUUUUGUUGUGUGAUAAUUAGGAGAACCACUGAAGGGAAAAUUCUGCCCACUACGCUACUCAGAAGUCCCAGCAGAACUGAGCAUCCAUGGUCUAUGGCAGGGACCUCAAUAACACACCUUUAUGUGAACUCCUCCACCUUUCCUAUCUCACCAAGCCUGCUUACUCCUGCUUCCUGGGAUAACCUCUCCAAUAAACUCCUG
This is a long non-coding RNA of Zalophus californianus (California sea lion), 480 nucleotides long. RefSeq lists it as uncharacterized. Lineage: Eukaryota; Metazoa; Chordata; Mammalia; Carnivora; Otariidae. The record is from RefSeq and is a predicted model, not a curated record. The transcript has 3 exons.